RNAcentral lists this ribosomal RNA (264 nucleotides) under uncultured bacterium. RNAcentral describes it as "partial 16S ribosomal RNA". It matches the Rfam family "Bacterial small subunit ribosomal RNA", at positions 524 to 787 of the family's 1533-position model. The record is from RNAcentral.
UACGAAGGGUGCAAGCGUUAAUCGGAAUUACUGGGCGUAAAGCGCGCGCAGGCGGUUCCUUAAGUCUGAUGUGAAAUCUCGCGGCUCAACCGCGAGCGGCCAUUGGAAACUGGGGAACUUGAGUGCAGGAGAGGGGAGCGGAAUUCCACGUGUAGCGGUGAAAUGCGUAGAGAUGUGGAGGAACACCAGUGGCGAAGGCGGCUCUCUGGCCUGUAACUGACGCUGAAGCGCGAAGGCGUGGGGAGCGAACAGGAUUAGAUACCC